RNAcentral lists this RNase P RNA (337 nucleotides) under chicken gut metagenome. RNAcentral's name for it is "Bacterial RNase P class A". It matches the Rfam family "Bacterial RNase P class A". Rfam says of the family: Ribonuclease P (RNase P) is a ubiquitous endoribonuclease, found in archaea, bacteria and eukarya as well as chloroplasts and mitochondria. The record is from RNAcentral.
GAAUAGUCGCGUAUAGCAAGGUCGAAAGACAGCGUACGAGGAAAGUCCGGGCUCCAUAGAGCAAUGAUGCUGGAUAACGUCCAGUGAGGGAAACCUUAAGGAAAGUGCAACAGAAAAUAACCGCCAACUUGUUUGGUAAGGGUGAAAAGGUGAGGUAAGAGCUCACCGCCAAUAUGGUGACAUAUUGGGUCUGUGUAAACCCCAUCAGGAGCAACACCGAGACAAGAAGGUUAAUGGCUGCUCGUCAGUCUUCUUAAUUUGGUGGCAUGAGGCAUAUAGCAAUAUAUGUCCUAGAUAGAUGACUAUUCAAGACAGAACCCGGCUUAUAGAUUUACUG